RNAcentral lists this ribosomal RNA (292 nucleotides) under uncultured bacterium. RNAcentral describes it as "partial 16S ribosomal RNA". It matches the Rfam family "Bacterial small subunit ribosomal RNA", at positions 505 to 796 of the family's 1533-position model. The record is from RNAcentral.
GUGUCAGCCGCCGCGGUAAUACGAAGGUGGCAAGCGUUACUCGGAAUUACUAGGCGUAAAGCGCAGGUAGGUGGUUGUGUAAGUCUGCUGUGAAAGCUCCCGGCUUAACUGGGAGAGGUCAGCGGAUACUGCAUAGCUAGAGUGUGGGAGAGGGUACUGGAAUUCCCGGUGUAGCGGUGAAAUGCGCAGAGAUCGGGAGGAACACCUAAGGCGAAAGCAGGUACCUGGACCAUUACUGACACUAAGCUGCGAAAGCUAGGGGAGCAAACAGGAUUAGAAACCCCAGUAGUCC